Non-coding RNA from Pelobates cultripes (western spadefoot toad), 170 nucleotides. NCBI's taxonomy places the organism in Eukaryota, Metazoa, Chordata, Amphibia, Anura, Pelobatidae. The record is from the annotation of a GenBank genome assembly.
UGCACUGGGAAAAGGCAAGAAAACUGCAGAUUUUGCAAGCUAUUUUUAGGUAUACCCUCAAUGAAAACAUGCAUGAUUAAUGUUUUCAUUUGUGGUAUAUUUGUUUUUAUUGGGGGUAUACCUAAAAAUAGCUUGCAAAAUCUGCAGUUUUCUUGUCUUUUCCCAGUGCA